GGGCUAAUAUAUUGUGGUCUUAGUAUUAACUAAAAUAGUUUGGCAGUGAGUUAUUCCUAUCAGGGGAAGGUGUGUUAUAAAGGACGAUCCGCCUAUUAGUUUACUUUCAUUAUGUUGGUGUAUAUCUAGUUAAAUAUUAUUGUUUAGUAACUUAAUUUGUGUAGGGUGAUUAGUUAAGCUAAGUCUAUGUGCUGCGUAUGGGAGUUUUUAUGCGUUACAUUUAUAAUAAAUUUGUGUGGGAGACAAAUUGAUUAAGGACUCGAAAGUAAUGUAAAAUUAGUUUGUUUAUG
This 290-nucleotide ribosomal RNA is filed under the name Skrjabinotaenia lobata. RNAcentral describes it as "partial 12S ribosomal RNA". Lineage: Eukaryota; Metazoa; Platyhelminthes; Cestoda; Cyclophyllidea; Catenotaeniidae. The record is from RNAcentral.